CGGUCUGCCGCCUCUAGAUCCUUCUUCUUUGGGAGGUGUUGAUAUCAGCACUUUGCAGAUAAUAAAGAAUGAAGAUCUUGAAGAGCUCAGAGAACUGGGUUCUGGUACAUUUGGAACUGUUUAUCAUGGGAAAUGGAGAGGGACAGAUGUUGCCAUCAAACGGAUAAAGAAAAGUUGCUUCACAGGUCGAUCAUCAGAGCAGGAAAGAUUAACAACUGAGUUUUGGCGGGAAGCCGACAUUCUAUCAAAGCUUCACCAUCCAAAUGUUGUGGCAUUUUACGGUGUUGUGCAAGAUGGACCUGGAGGAACCUUGGCCACCGUGGCAGAAUUUAUGGUUGAUGGUUCUCUAAGGCAUGUUUUUACUCCGCAAGGAUAAGCAUCUUGACCGCCGAAAGCGCCUCAUAAUUGCAAUGGAUGCUGCAUUUGGGAUGGAAUAUUUGCACUCAAAAAAUAUUGUGCAUUUUGAUCUGAAAUGUGACAAUUUGCUGGUGAAUUUGAAAGAUCCUUCAAGCGUCCCAUUUGCAAGGUUGGUGAUUUUGGCCUGUCAAAAAUCAAACGAAAUACCUUAGUUUCUGGUGGAGUAAGGGGAACUUUACCGUGGAUGGCUCCUGAGUUGCUAAAUGGCAGCAGCAAUAAAGUCUCUGAAAAGGUGGAUGUGUUCUCCUUGGUAUUGUUUUGUGGGAGAUUCUCACUGGGGAGGAACCAUAUGCAAAUAUGCAUUAUGGUGCAAUUAUAGGAGGCAUAGUAAGUAACACGUUGAGGCCACCCAUACCAGGCUUCUGUGAUCACGAAUGGCGGAGGCUAAUGGAACAGUGUUGGGCACCAAAUCCAACUGUUAGGCCAUCCUUCACAGAAAUUGCUGCCCGUUUGCGAAUCAUGUCUGCAGCAGCAGCAGCAAGCCAUGGGAAAGCCCAUGGUCAGAAAGCAUCCAAAUGAUGCCAAUCGUUGAUGGUGGAACAGUAUUUUUUGUGCACUCAUCUGUUCUUGCCACAUUUCAUCGAAACGAAAAAUUCAUUUUAUUCAAAUUUAAUUGCAUGGUCUUGGAGAAAGGUAGCUUGUAUAAUGGGAGAAUUAGCUGCUCCACAUGUCUGGAGUUGGCAGGACCUUGUUGAAACUGUCAAGACAGAUCAACAUCGACCUCGUACAUCAUGGGUGAACGAUCAAUGGUUCUUUCAUGGUAUAUGCUGCUUUUGUGAAUUUCUGUCUGAAAUAUGCACGCUGAUUUAUAGGUUGCGGUGGUAUCUUCCCAUGCAAUACUUUGCUGAUGCUUUGAUUGGGUUUCCCGACUUAUUAGUCGCUUUGGUUGGGUUUCCUAUCAUCAGAUUCAGUCACCAUGACGAGGACAGCAUAUUUCCUGUGCA
Long non-coding RNA from Eucalyptus grandis, 1361 nucleotides. RefSeq lists it as uncharacterized. Lineage: Eukaryota; Viridiplantae; Streptophyta; Magnoliopsida; Myrtales; Myrtaceae. The transcript is spliced from 7 exons. The record is from RefSeq and is a predicted model, not a curated record.